Molecule: ribosomal RNA, 254 nt
Filed under: uncultured bacterium
Lineage: Bacteria
Description: partial 16S ribosomal RNA
Rfam family: Bacterial small subunit ribosomal RNA
Source: RNAcentral
UACAGAGGGUGCGAGCGUUGUCCGGAAUCACUGGGCGUAAAGGGCGCGUAGGCGGCCUGAUAAGUAGGGGGUGAAAUCCUGUGGCUUAACUGCAGGGCUGCCUCCUAGACUGUUAGGCUCGAGCACGGUAGAGGCAGAUGGAAUUCCCGGUGUAGCGGUGGAAUGCGUAGAGAUCGGGAAGAACAUCGGUGGCGAAGGCGGUCUGCUGGGCCGUUGCCUGACGCGAGGCGCGACAGCGUGGGGGAGCAAACAGG